Molecule: ribosomal RNA, 461 nt
Filed under: uncultured bacterium
Lineage: Bacteria
Description: bacterial SSU rRNA
Rfam family: Bacterial small subunit ribosomal RNA
Source: RNAcentral
GACGAACGCUGGCGGCGUGCCUAACACAUGCAAGUCGAACGGGGUAGUUCCUUCGGGGACUACUUAGUGGCGAACGGGUGAGUAACGCGUGAGAAACCUGCCUUUCAGUGGGGGACAACAGUUGGAAACGACUGCUAAUACCGCAUAAUGUUUCGAGAGGGCAUCCUUUUGAAACCAAAGCUUUAUGUGCUGAAAGAUGGUCUCGCGUCUGAUUAGCUAGUUGGUGAGGUAACGGCCCACCAAGGCGACGAUCAGUAGCCGGCCUGAGAGGGUGAACGGCCACAUUGGGACUGAGACACGGCCCAAACUCCUACGGGAGGCAGCAGUGGGGAAUAUUGCACAAUGGGGGAAACCCUGAUGCAGCGACGCCGCGUGAGUGAAGAAGUAUUUCGGUAUGUAAAGCUCUAUCAGCAGGGAAGAAAAUGACGGUACCUGACUAAGAAGCCCCGGNUAACUACGUG